Long non-coding RNA from Lycium barbarum (goji berry), 514 nucleotides. RefSeq lists it as uncharacterized. NCBI's taxonomy places the organism in Eukaryota, Viridiplantae, Streptophyta, Magnoliopsida, Solanales, Solanaceae. The transcript is spliced from 4 exons. The record is from RefSeq and is a predicted model, not a curated record.
GUAAACAAACGCUGAUUUAAAAUCAAAAUAUGAAAUCAUGAUUUCAUAUUGCAUGGUCAAACGUCUACUAAGACUCUCUUUUCUUGUCUAUUAACCUAUGUUCUCCCUCAAAUCUUGCAGACGGGAAAAUUAUUCGCCAUCAUGGAAGCUAUUAUAUGAGUUGUUCAAUCUCCGAGCCGCAUAUAUAUCAUUGACGUAAUCUCCAAUCGCUUCCAGAUAUCAUCUGACUGGUCUCUUCCAUGUCUGAACCAUGUAUUUCCAACUGUCUGUUGCUCGAACCACAUCUAGAAUUUGAGAAAGGGAUUACUUGCCAAAAAUUUCUCAUAUUUCCUACAUCCAAAUUGACCGGGAAUACCUGUAAUGAUUAAAACGAGUGGUGCUCUGAUAAAUCAUGUAGCGUCUAUUGACACUGUGAAGCCGAUGAAGCAUCAUCAGAUCAGGAUGAAAGAUGACAAAAAAGUGACUUGAGAAAGGAGGUGUCACGCCCCGAACCAUGGCCUGGACGUAACAUGGC